Molecule: ribosomal RNA, 518 nt
Filed under: Mycobacterium tuberculosis
Lineage: Bacteria; Bacillati; Actinomycetota; Actinomycetes; Mycobacteriales; Mycobacteriaceae
Description: partial 23S ribosomal RNA
Rfam family: Bacterial large subunit ribosomal RNA
Source: RNAcentral
AGUAUGUGGACGUAGACCCGAAACCAAGUGAUCUACCCAUGUCCAGGUUGAAGGUGCGGUAAAACGCACUGGAGGACCGAACCAGGGCACGUUGAAAAGUGCUUGGAUGAGGUGUGGGUAGCGGAGAAAUUCCAAUCGAACUUGGAGAUAGCUGGUUCUCUCCGAAAUAGCUUUAGGGCUAGCCUCGGAAGUGAGAAUCGUGGAGGUAGAGCACUGUUUGGACUAGGGGCCCAUCUCGGGUUACCGAAUUCAGAUAAACUCCGAAUGCCAUGUAUUUAUAUCCGGGAGUCAGACUGCGAGUGAUAAGAUCCGUAGUCGAAAGGGAAACAGCCCAGACCACCAGCUAAGGUCCCAAAAUAUCUGUUAAGUGGAAAAGGAUGUGGGGUUGCACAGACAACUAGGAUGUUGGCUUAGAAGCAGCCAUCAUUCAAAGAGUGCGUAAUAGCUCACUAGUCGAGUGACCCUGCGCCGAAAAUGUAACGGGGCUAAACAGAUUACCGAAGCUGUGGAUUGGACCU